GCCUUGGUGGUGGAAUGGUAGACACGAGGGACUUAAAAUCCCUUGGGCAGUAAUGCCUGUACGGGUUCGAGUCCCGUCCGAGGCA
RNAcentral lists this transfer RNA (85 nucleotides) under Bacteroidota bacterium. RNAcentral describes it as "tRNA-Leu". It matches the Rfam family "tRNA". Rfam says of the family: Transfer RNA (tRNA) molecules are approximately 80 nucleotides in length. Their secondary structure includes four short double-helical elements and three loops (D, anti-codon, and T loops). The record is from RNAcentral. Lineage: Bacteria; Pseudomonadati; Bacteroidota. RNAcentral also lists the same sequence under 1 other name.